Molecule: ribosomal RNA, 249 nt
Filed under: uncultured bacterium
Lineage: Bacteria
Description: partial 16S ribosomal RNA
Rfam family: Bacterial small subunit ribosomal RNA
Source: RNAcentral
UGGGGAAUAUUGGACAAUGGGCGAAAGCCUGAUCCAGCAAUGCCGCGUGAGUGAUGAAGGCCUUAGGGUUGUAAAGCUCUUUUACCAGGGAUGAUAAUGACAGUACCUGGAGAAUAAGCUCCGGCUAACUCCGUGCCAGCAGCCGCGGUAAUACGGAGGGAGCCAACGUUGUUCGGAACUACUGGGCGUAAAGAGAACGUAGGCGGGGAGUCAAGUCAGAGGGGAAAGCCGGGAGCGCAAACACAGAAC